UCAAACUUGGUCAUUUAGAGGAAGUAAAAGUCGUAACAAGGUUUCCGUAGGUGAACCUGCGGAAGGAUCAUUACUGAAACUGACGUGCUGUCCUGCGCACUCGCUCCGGCGAGUCGCUGCGGACGGUCGUCAUUCCACUUCAAACCCCUGUGCACUUGGUGGCUCCUCGUGGGCCUCUUUUACAAACGUUAAACAGUUUAAGAAUGCAUGCGGCCCUGUGCCGUCCAAAUACAAAACAACUUUCAACAACGGAUCUCUUGGCUCUCGCAUCGAUGAAGAACGCAGC
Molecule: unclassified non-coding RNA, 286 nt
Filed under: uncultured fungus
Lineage: Eukaryota; Fungi
Description: partial contains small subunit ribosomal RNA, internal transcribed spacer 1, and 5.8S ribosomal RNA
Rfam family: Eukaryotic small subunit ribosomal RNA (bases 1-73)
Source: RNAcentral